UCCGCGCAUGCGCAGGCUCCUCAGCCGCCGGGGGUGCGCGGAGAAAAGGGGCGGGGUGGUCCGAGCUGCUGUGCUGGCAGCAGUAGACGAGGGCGCGGCUGCGGGGUUCCUGGUGCCCAGGACCGACGCCAUUGGAGCCCCAGGGAAGGCUGAGCUGUCUCCUCCUUGGGACCCGCGGCAUGGCUGAGAGAAGCCGCAGCGGGCAGUCGGGAAACUCCAACUCUGGAGACAUGGAUGAGGGGAGCCAGCGAGCCAGGGAGGAAGAGAUGGUUGGAGGCAACGACUAUGAAGAAUUUGGUGCUUUCGGUGGCUAUGGCACCCUCACCAGCCUUGACAUCCAUCUCCUGAGAGCCUUUGGGAGCUUGGGUUCAGGCUUUCGCUUCUUAGCGAAUGAGCCCUGGGAACUGGAAAACCCCGCGCUGGCCCAGACCCUGGUGGAGGCAUUGCAGCUGGAUCCGGACACCCUUGCCAAUGAGACGGAGGCGCGCGCUGCCAACGUAGCCCGCUCUGCCGCCUCCAACCGAGCCAAUCGGGCUGCUGCCUCUGCUGCCCGCAGGUCCUUCAACCAGGCCAUCUCCAACCAGAUGAGGGCCGCACAGCAGGCCCUAGUAGAGGACGCCCAGCCAAUGACAUAUGCCGAGGCUCAGGGGGCCACCCCUGAGACCAGCCAUGCCUCUCAGCAGACCUCCCAGACGCUAGUCGCCAGUGAGGGGGCUGCCCCUGGGGCUCCAGCACCCUCCACACAGCCCCAGACAGCCUUCCUGGCGCAGGAAGCCGCUGCAGAGGGCCCUAGCACCGCCUGUGCUUUCACUCAGGCUCCAAGUGCCAGCGAGAGGGAUGCCACCCAGCCCCAGACAGCCUUCCUGGGCCAGAAGGAUGUCUUUGAUUUCACUCAGCCGGCAGGUGUCAGUGGCAUGGCCUUCCCUCGUCCCAAGAGACCUGCCCCGGCCCAAGAGGCCCCCACACAGGGUCCCAGUGCUGCCUGUUGUGUGCCCCAGGCAGCACCUGCCAGGGAGGGGUCAGCCACCCGGCCCAAGACCACCAAGUCUGGGAAGGCGCUGGCCAAGACUCGGUGGGUGGAGCCUCAGAAUGUGGCUGCAGCUGCUGCUGCCAAGGCCAAGGCGGCCACAAGCAUCCCCGAGCAGGAGGGGGCAGCUGCCACUGCCCAGCACAGUGCUGAGCCCUGGACCAGAAUGGGAGGCAAGAGGACAAAGAAGGUAUGGACUCCUGUGCCAUCGACACAGCCCCUUGCUCCCCUGCCUUGCCCCUUCUCUCCCCCUUCUCCUCUC
This is a long non-coding RNA of Ictidomys tridecemlineatus (thirteen-lined ground squirrel), 1289 nucleotides long. Ensembl annotates it as melanoma-associated antigen D4-like. Lineage: Eukaryota; Metazoa; Chordata; Mammalia; Rodentia; Sciuridae. The record is from Ensembl.